CAAAGAGUAGUUUAACUUAGGAUGCUGGCUUUGGGAGCCAGCGGUCGGGGUUAGAGUCCCUGCUUUUUGA
This 70-nucleotide transfer RNA is filed under the name Plectorhinchus cinctus (crescent sweetlips). RNAcentral describes it as "tRNA-Pro". It matches the Rfam family "tRNA". From Rfam's summary of the family: Transfer RNA (tRNA) molecules are approximately 80 nucleotides in length. Their secondary structure includes four short double-helical elements and three loops (D, anti-codon, and T loops). Further hydrogen bonds mediate the characteristic L-shaped molecular structure. tRNAs have two regions of fundamental functional importance: the anti-codon, which is responsible for specific mRNA codon recognition, and the 3' end, to which the tRNAs corresponding amino acid is attached (by aminoacyl-tRNA synthetases). tRNAs cope with the degeneracy of the genetic code in two manners: having more than one tRNA (with a specific anti-codon) for a particular amino acid; and 'wobble' base-pairing, i.e. permitting non-standard base-pairing at the 3rd anti-codon position. The record is from RNAcentral. Lineage: Eukaryota; Metazoa; Chordata; Actinopteri; Lutjaniformes; Haemulidae.